Molecule: non-coding RNA, 382 nt
Organism: Pelobates cultripes (western spadefoot toad)
Lineage: Eukaryota; Metazoa; Chordata; Amphibia; Anura; Pelobatidae
Source: the annotation of a GenBank genome assembly
AGGUUAUUGUGCCAAAAGCAGCUCACGACUUUGAUGUGGAAAGGUGUGAUGAUUCCAGUUGUAACCCUUCUACCUCUGGGGGUUCGAAGAUUGGCACCUUUCUUACAACCGUAACUAUGACAAAUGAGUUGUGACCAAGUAAAGAAGACUGUUAUCUUCAAAUGGAAGACAAAGAGCCAGAGUUGGUGCAACGUGACAAACCCGUGAUGGAUCAAGCCCAAGUAAAGGGUCUAAAUGAGACCGGGCUUGUUCAGAACCUACAGUUUGAAGAAGACUCGCUAAUCCUAUGUAAGCCUAAUACAGUUCUUCAAGUCACAUGCUCUGGUAGAACAAUUUCUCUGCUGCAAGAGGAAACCCUAACUACCACACUUGUACCCGAACC